This 253-nucleotide ribosomal RNA is filed under the name uncultured bacterium. RNAcentral's name for it is "partial 16S ribosomal RNA". It matches the Rfam family "Bacterial small subunit ribosomal RNA", at positions 524 to 776 of the family's 1533-position model. The record is from RNAcentral.
UACGAAGGUCCCAAGCGUUAUCCGGAUUUAUUGGGUUUAAAGGGUGCGUAGGCGGGUUAUUAAGUCAGUGGUGAAAGCUCCCGGCUCAACCGGGAAAUUGCCAUUGAUACUGAUGACCUUGAGUGUGGUUGAGGUGGGCGGAAUGUGUCAUGUAGCGGUGAAAUGCUUAGAGAUUACAUGGAAUACCAAUUGCGAAGGCAGGUUACUACUAAUGGAUUGACGCUGAUGGACGAAAGCGUGGGUAGCGAACAGG